GCACCCGUAGCUCAGAUGGAUAGAGCGUCUGUUUGCGGUACAGAAGGUCAGGGGUUCGACCCCCUUCGGGUGCACCA
RNAcentral lists this transfer RNA (77 nucleotides) under SAR324 cluster bacterium. RNAcentral describes it as "tRNA-Arg". It matches the Rfam family "tRNA". From Rfam's summary of the family: Transfer RNA (tRNA) molecules are approximately 80 nucleotides in length. Their secondary structure includes four short double-helical elements and three loops (D, anti-codon, and T loops). Lineage: Bacteria; Deltaproteobacteria. The record is from RNAcentral.